CAAACUGGAGAUGGCGACCGGCGCACGGGUGAGUAACACGUAUCCAACCUGCCGAUAACUCGGGGAUAGCCUUUCGAAAGAAAGAUUAAUACCCGAUGGCAUAGUUCUUCCGCAUGGUAGAACUAUUAAAGAAUUUCGGUCAUCGAUGGGGAGUGCGUUCCAUUAGGUUGUUGGCGGGGUAACGGCCCACCAAGCCUUCGAUGGAUAGGGGUUCUGAGAGGAAGGUCCCCCACAUUGGAACUGAGACACGGUCCAAACUCCUACGGGAGGCAGCAUG
Molecule: ribosomal RNA, 277 nt
Filed under: uncultured bacterium
Lineage: Bacteria
Description: partial 16S ribosomal RNA
Rfam family: Bacterial small subunit ribosomal RNA
Source: RNAcentral